This 660-nucleotide ribosomal RNA is filed under the name Pediococcus pentosaceus. RNAcentral's name for it is "bacterial SSU rRNA". It matches the Rfam family "Bacterial small subunit ribosomal RNA", at positions 78 to 723 of the family's 1533-position model. The record is from RNAcentral. Lineage: Bacteria; Bacillati; Bacillota; Bacilli; Lactobacillales; Lactobacillaceae.
UUUUAACACGAAAUGAGUGGCGAACGGGUGAGUAACACGUGGGUAACCUGCCCAGAAGUAGGGGAUAACACCUGGAAACAGAUGCUAAUACCGUAUAACAGAGAAAACCGCAUGGUUUUCUUUUAAAAGAUGGCUCUGCUAUCACUUCUGGAUGGACCCGCGGCGUAUUAGCUAGUUGGUGAGGUAAAGGCUCACCAAGGCAGUGAUACGUAGCCGACCUGAGAGGGUAAUCGGCCACAUUGGGACUGAGACACGGCCCAGACUCCUACGGGAGGCAGCAGUAGGGAAUCUUCCACAAUGGACGCAAGUCUGAUGGAGCAACGCCGCGUGAGUGAAGAAGGGUUUCGGCUCGUAAAGCUCUGUUGUUAAAGAAGAACGUGGGUAAGGAGUAACUGUUUACCCAGUGACGGUAUUUAACCAGAAAGCCACGGCUAACUACGUGCCAGCAGCCGCGGUAAUACGUAGGUGGCAAGCGUUAUCCGGAUUUAUUGGGCGUAAAGCGAGCGCACGCGGUCUUUUAAGUCUAAUGUGAAAGCCUUCGGCUCAACCGAAGAAGUGCAUUGGAAACUGGGGAGACUUGAGUGCAGAAGAGGACAGUGGAAACUCCAUGUGUAGCGGUGAGAUGCCUAAAUAUAUGGAAGAACACCAGUGGCGAAGGCG